RNAcentral lists this ribosomal RNA (200 nucleotides) under Galba viatrix. RNAcentral's name for it is "partial small subunit ribosomal RNA". The record is from RNAcentral. Lineage: Eukaryota; Metazoa; Mollusca; Gastropoda; Lymnaeidae.
GCUCCGACCUUUAUUGGAAGAGCGCUUUUAUUAGUUCAAAACCAAUCGCCGUGUGCCUCCGCGGUGCAAGCCGUGGUCGCGCGGCGCCCCAUUGGUGACUCUGGAUAACUUUGUGCUGAUCGCAUGGCUUCGUGCCGGCGACGCAUCUUUCAAAUGUCUGCCCUAUCAAAUGUCGAUGGUACGUGAUAUGCCUACCUGUA